AUCGCGUCUUGGCCUUUUGGCUAAGAUCAAGUGUAGUAUCUGUUCUUAUCAGUUUGAAAUGUAGACAACACUACGAACUUGGUAUCAAUAUUACCCCCAUCUUAUGGUAGAUGAAACAUGGGCUUAAAAUAAAGAUUUUAAAAGUGGUUGACUGCCACUCAGUCUACAAGUACUGGACUGAAAUUUGGACCAAGGUGUCCCUUUC
Molecule: small nuclear RNA, 205 nt
Filed under: Catagonus wagneri (Chacoan peccary)
Lineage: Eukaryota; Metazoa; Chordata; Mammalia; Artiodactyla; Tayassuidae
Description: U2 spliceosomal RNA (ENSCWAG00000019510.1)
Rfam family: U2 spliceosomal RNA (bases 1-172)
About the family: U2 is a small nuclear RNA (snRNA) component of the spliceosome (involved in pre-mRNA splicing). Complementary binding between U2 snRNA (in an area lying towards the 5' end but 3' to hairpin I) and the branchpoint sequence (BPS) of the intron results the bulging out of an unpaired adenosine, on the BPS, which initiates a nucleophilic attack at the intronic 5' splice site, thus starting the first of two transesterification reactions that mediate splicing.
Source: RNAcentral